AUUGAACGCUGGCGGCAGGCCUAACACAUGCAAGUCGAACGGUAACAGGAAACAGCUUGCUGUUUCGCUGACGAGUGGCGGACGGGUGAGUAAUGUCUGGGAAACUGCCUGAUGGAGGGGGAUAACUACUGGAAACGGUAGCUAAUACCGCAUAACGUCGCAAGACCAAAGAGGGGGACCUUCGGGCCUCUUGCCAUCGGAUGUGCCCAGAUGGGAUUAGCCAGUAGGUGGGGUAACGGCUCACCUAGGCGACGAUCCCUAGCUGGUCUGAGAGGAUGACCAGCCACACUGGAACUGAGACACGGUCCAGACUCCUACGGGAGGCAGCAGUGGGGAAUAUUGCACAAUGGGCGCAAGCCUGAUGCAGCCAUGCCGCGUGUAUGAAGAAGGCCUUCGGGUUGUAAAGUACUUUCAGCGGGGAUGAAGGGAGUAAAGUUAAUACCUUUGCUCAUUGACGUUACCCGCAGAAGAAGCACCGGCUAACUCCGUG
Molecule: ribosomal RNA, 490 nt
Filed under: uncultured bacterium
Lineage: Bacteria
Description: partial 16S ribosomal RNA
Rfam family: Bacterial small subunit ribosomal RNA
Source: RNAcentral